CUAAGAAUAUUCCGCAAUGGGGGGAAACCCUGACGGAGCGACGCCGCGUGGACGAUGAAGGCCGGAAGGUUGUAAAGUCCUUUUAUGACAGAGGAAUAGGCGUGGGAGUGGAAAGCCCAUGUGAUGACUGUAGGUCAUGAAUAAGAGGCGGCUAAUUACGUGCCAGCAGCCGCGGUAACACGUAAGCCUCGAGCGUUGUUCGGAAUUAUUGGGCGUAAAGGGCAUGUAGGCGGAAUUGCAAGCUUGAUGUGAAAGGCAGGGGCUUAACUCCUGGAUUGCGUUGAGAACUGCAUAACUAGAGUAACUGAGGGCAGCCGGAAUUCCAGGUGUAGGGGUGAAAUCUGUAGAUAUCUGGAAGAACACCAAUGGCGAAGGCAGGCUACCAGCAGAUUACUGACGCUGAGGUGCGAAGGUAUGGGGAGCAAACAGGAUUAGAUACCCUGGUAGU
Molecule: ribosomal RNA, 448 nt
Filed under: uncultured Treponema sp.
Lineage: Bacteria; Pseudomonadati; Spirochaetota; Spirochaetia; Treponematales; Treponemataceae
Description: bacterial SSU rRNA
Rfam family: Bacterial small subunit ribosomal RNA
Source: RNAcentral